UACGGAGGGCGCAAGCGUAGUUCGGAUUUACUGGGCAUAAAGAGCACGUAGGCGGCUCGCUCAGUCGGGUGUGAAAGCCCACGGCCCAACCGUGGAACUGCACCCGAUACUGGCGAGCUCGAGGACGGAAGGGGUGAGUGGAACUCCAGGUGGAACGGUGAAAUGUAUAGAUAUCUGGAGGAACACCGGUGGCGAAAGCGGCUCACUGGUCCGUCUCUGACGCUGAGGUGCGAAAGCUAGGGUAGCGAACGGG
This 253-nucleotide ribosomal RNA is filed under the name uncultured bacterium. RNAcentral's name for it is "partial 16S ribosomal RNA". It matches the Rfam family "Bacterial small subunit ribosomal RNA", at positions 524 to 776 of the family's 1533-position model. The record is from RNAcentral.